UGAACGCUGGCGGCGUGCCUAAUACAUGCACGUCGCGCGAACAGACGAGGAGCUUGCUCCUCUGACGUUAGCGGCGGACGGGUGAGUAACACGUGGAUAACCUACCUAUAAGACUGGGAUAACUUCGGGAAACCGGAGCUAAUACCGGAUAAUAUAUUGAACCGCAUGGUUCAAUAGUGAAAGACGGUUUUGCUGUCACUUAUAGAUGGAUCCGCGCCGCAUUAGCUAGUUGGUAAGGUAACGGCUUACCAAGGCGACGAUGCGUAGCCGACCUGAGAGGGUGAUCGGCCACACUGGAACUGAGACACGGUCCAGACUCCUACGGGAGGCAGCAGUAGGGAAUCUUCCGCAAUGGGCGAAAGCCUGACGGAGCAACGCCGCGUGAGUGAUGAAGGUCUUCGGAUCGUAAAACUCUGUUAUUAGGGAAGAACAAAUGUGUAAGUAACUAUGCACGUCUUGACGGUACCUAAUCAGAAAGCCACGGCUAACUACGUG
RNAcentral lists this ribosomal RNA (495 nucleotides) under uncultured bacterium. RNAcentral describes it as "partial 16S ribosomal RNA". It matches the Rfam family "Bacterial small subunit ribosomal RNA", at positions 30 to 507 of the family's 1533-position model. The record is from RNAcentral.